RNAcentral lists this unclassified non-coding RNA (229 nucleotides) under uncultured fungus. Its description in RNAcentral is "sequence contains ITS1, 5.8S rRNA gene". The stretch from base 181 to 229 matches the Rfam family "5.8S ribosomal RNA", at positions 1 to 49 of the family's 154-position model. Lineage: Eukaryota; Fungi. The record is from RNAcentral.
UCUCCGUAGGUGAACUUGCGGAGGGAUCACUAACGAGUGAGGGCUCACGCCCGACCUCCCACCCUUUGUGAACCCAUCUUGUUGCUUCGGGGGCGACCCUGCCGGCACUCUGUCGCCGGGCGCCCCCGAAGGUCUCCCAACACUGCAUCUUUGCGUCGGAGUUUAAAACAAAUGAAACAAAACUUUCAACAACGGAUCUCUUGGUUCUGGCAUCGAUGAAGAACGCAGC